RNAcentral lists this ribosomal RNA (1535 nucleotides) under human gut metagenome. RNAcentral describes it as "bacterial LSU rRNA". It matches the Rfam family "Bacterial large subunit ribosomal RNA", at positions 895 to 2494 of the family's 2925-position model. The record is from RNAcentral.
ACCGGAGGUAAAGCACUGAAUGGGCUAGGGGGCUUCACGGCUUACCGAACCCUAUCAAACUCUGAAUGCCGCAUAAAUGUUUCCUGGAAGUCAGACUGCGUGAGAUAAGUUUCGUAGUCAAAAGGGAAAGAGCCCAGACCUACAGCUAAGGUCCCUAAAUGAAUUUAAGUGGAAAAGGAUGUGCAGUUGCGUAGACAACUAGGACGUUGGCUUAGAAGCAGCCACUCAUUUAAAGAGUGCGUAAUAGCUCACUAGUCGAGUGAUUGUGCGCCGAAAAUGUAACGGGGCUAAAAUUCAUACCGAAGCUUAGGCUUUGCACACUUUGUGUGCGAGGGGUAGAUGAGCGUUGUGUAAGUCUGCGAAGCUACACCGAAAGGAGUAGUGGAGAUAUCACAAGUGAGAAUGCCGGAAUGAGUAGCGAGAAUUAUGUGAGAAUCAUAAUGGUCGAAAAUCUAAGGUUUCUUGAGGAAGGUUCGUCCGCUCAAGGUAAGCCGGGAGCUAAGGCGAGGCCGAGAGGCGUAGUCGAUGCACAUACGGUAAAGAUUCCGUAGCCACCGAAGUCGUUAAAUACAGGGACACAGGAACAUAGCCUAACCCCACCGUUGGUUGAGUGGGGCGUAAGGGAGCGAAAAAUAGUAGCGAAGUAGGUGAUUGUACACUGGCGAGAAAAGCUGUAUGUAUUGAUAAGGUGCCCGUACCGCAAACCGACACAGGUAGAUGAGGAGAGAAUCCUAAGACCAGCGGGAGAAGUGUUGUUAAGGAACUCGGCAAAAUGACCCCGUAACUUCGGGAUAAGGGGAGCCUACGCGAGUAGGCCGCAGAGAAUAGUCUCAAGCGACUGUUUAGCAAAAACACAGGUCUAUGCUAAAUCGAAAGAUGAUGUAUAUGGGCUGACGCCUGCCCGGUGCUGGAAGGUUAAGGGGAAGUGUUAGAGCAAUCGAAGCACUGAACUUAAGCCCCAGUAAACGGCGGCCGUAACUAUAACGGUCCUAAGGUAGCGAAAUUCCUUGUCAGGUAAGUUCUGACCCGCACGAAUGGCGUAACGACUUGAGAGCUGUCUCAACAACAUACCCGGCGAAAUUGAAGUACUGGUAAAGAUGCCAGUUACCCGUGAUAAGACGGAAAGACCCCAUGGAGCUUUACUGUAACUUGAUAUUGAAUUUUUGUAUUACAUGUACAGGAUAGGUGGGAGACAGAGAACUAAUGCCGCCAGGUGUUAGGGAGUCGAUGUUGGGAUACCACUCUUGUAAUAUGAAGGUUCUAACCUGCACCCGUGAAUCCGGGUGGGGGACACUGUCAGGUGGACAGUUUGACUGGGGCGGUCGCCUCCUAAAAGGUAACGGAGGCGUUCAAAGGUUGGUUCAGCACGGACGGAAAUCGUGCAACGAGUGCAAACGCAUAAACCAGCCUAACUGCGAGACCGACAAGUCGAGCAGUAACGAAAGUUGGAGUUAGUGAUCCGGCGGUAUGAGAGUGGAAUUGCCGUCGCUCAACGGAUAAAAGCUACCCUGGGGAUAACAGGCUGAUCUCCCCCA